RNAcentral lists this ribosomal RNA (639 nucleotides) under uncultured bacterium. RNAcentral's name for it is "bacterial SSU rRNA". It matches the Rfam family "Bacterial small subunit ribosomal RNA", at positions 97 to 732 of the family's 1533-position model. The record is from RNAcentral.
GGCAAACGGGUGCGGAACACGUACAGAACCUUCCUCCGAGUGGGAGAUAGCCCGGAGAAAUCCGGAUUAAUAUCCCAUAGAAUUACUUGGUGGCAUCACUUGGGUAAUUAAAGAUUUAUCGCUUGGAGAUGGCUGUGCGGCUGAUUAGGUAGUUGGUUGAGGUAAAGGCUCACCAAGCCAACGAUCAGUAACUGGUGUGAGAGCACGACCAGUCACACGGGCACUGAGACACGGGCCCGACUCCUACGGGAGGCAGCAGUAAGGAAUAUUGGUCAAUGGACGCAAGUCUGAACCAGCCAUGCCGCGUGAAGGAUGAAGGCCCUCUGGGUUGUAAACUUCUUUUAUGUGGGAAGAAAUCCUUAUUUUUUAAUGAGGUUGACGGUACCAUAGGAAUAAGCACCGGCUAACUCCGUGCCAGCAGCCGCGGUAAUACGGAGGGUGCAAGCGUUAUCCGGAUUCACUGGGUUUAAAGGGUGCGUAGGUGGGAAUGUAAGUCAGUGGUGAAAUCUCCGUGCUUAACAUGGAAACUGCCAUUGAUACUAUGUUUCUUGAAUUUUCUGGAGGUCAGCGGAAUAUGUCAUGUAGCGGUGAAAUGCUUAGAUAUGACAUAGAACACCAAUUGCGAAGGCAGCUGGCUAC